CGUAGAGAUAGAAAGUUACUUCGGUACAUCGGUGACAGGUGGUGCAUUGGUUGUCGUCAGCUCGUGUCGUGAGAUGUUGGGUUAAGUCCCGCAACGAGCGCAACCCUCGUCCUUAGUUGCUAACAGUUCGGCUGAGCACUCUAGGGAGACUGCCUUCGCAAGGAGGAGGAAGGUGAGGACGACGUCAAGUCAUCAUGGCCCUUACGGCCAGGGCUACACACGUGCUACAAUGGGGCGUACAGAGAGCUGCGAUACCGCGAGGUGGAGCCAAUCUCUUAAAGCGUCUCUCAGUUCGGAUUGCUCUCUGCAACUCGAGAACAUGAAGCUGGAAUCACUAGUAAUCGCAGAUCAGCUAUGCUGCGGUGAAUACGUUCCCGGGUCUU
This 383-nucleotide ribosomal RNA is filed under the name uncultured Sulfuricurvum sp. RNAcentral describes it as "bacterial SSU rRNA". It matches the Rfam family "Bacterial small subunit ribosomal RNA", at positions 999 to 1382 of the family's 1533-position model. The record is from RNAcentral. Lineage: Bacteria; Pseudomonadati; Campylobacterota; Epsilonproteobacteria; Campylobacterales; Sulfurimonadaceae.